GAUGAAUCCAACGAGGUCACAUAUUCUUUGAUUGAGCUGAAAAACAUUGCUAAGAAGGGAAACUCAAGUCCUGCAGCAGCGGAUGAAACAGUUUAUUCUGAAGUCAAACCAGGAACAGUUAUUGGUAAAAAUGCAGCAUAAUAUAAUGUGCAUAUUUGGAUUAGUCACUGUCUUUAUUUAUUUUAUGGAUGGUUAAAUGGGUUAUAAAUGGGUGUAAAAUUUAAAGCAUGGCUUUAAUUCAGCAUCUUUUCAGUUUUUCAUGAAAAAGCUUUACACAUUUGUAACAACAUUUUCUGUCACACAUUUUCCAAUUUAUCUUCAUAAAUAGUUUGAUGUGUUUUAUUUUCACCUGGAUGGAUUUAGUAUGUUUUGUACUUUAAAAGUUUGGUUGACAUAUUUCUACAUCAAUAAACAGCAUUUGCCUGUCA
Molecule: long non-coding RNA, 428 nt
Organism: Micropterus salmoides (largemouth bass)
Lineage: Eukaryota; Metazoa; Chordata; Actinopteri; Centrarchiformes; Centrarchidae
Exons: 2
Source: RefSeq, a predicted model, not a curated record